Poecile atricapillus (Black-capped chickadee) is the source of this 1770-nucleotide long non-coding RNA. RefSeq lists it as uncharacterized. The transcript is spliced from 2 exons. The record is from RefSeq and is a predicted model, not a curated record. NCBI's taxonomy places the organism in Eukaryota, Metazoa, Chordata, Aves, Passeriformes, Paridae.
GUCGGUGGCCCGGAAGACGUGGCAGGCCAUGGGGGAGUCAGGGUUGUCGGGCUGCGCCUUGAUCAGGAGGAUCAAAUGACAAGACACGUUUUUGUGUUAUUCCAGUACCUGCAAGGUCUUAACAGAACCACCCUGCAUGCCUCUGCAAAGGAGUGGAAAUUACUCUCAUUAUACCUACAGCCAAGAAGGUAAUAAAACAUUCAAACAGGGCAAACCGGAAAAAGAAACAUUCUUCUCCCAAUUUAUCACCUCUCUGCCUUUAUUUUUAAUUCAUUCAAGGCAAUGUGUUUUCAAGUGUUCAAACAGAGUGCAAAGGCUUAAAAGGGGGAAGGUAAAAAAUAAAGGCGGUGGGUUUACAAUGAACAAGAAGGUUAAAGAAAGGCAGUACAAUUUUAUGGAAGCAGAAACAGAGACAUGCUUUUACUUGGCCAAAGCGUGCAGAAGCUGAAUAUAUAAAACACUAGUGCACAGAUUACUUCAGCCAUUUUUGUGCACUCCUUCUGUGGAGCUUUCUAAAAAAUAGCUUUCUGCAAGUGGGCUGGUGUGUCUGAAAUUAAUGGGAAAAAAAAAAGUCAUGUGACAAAGACAAGUCAUAGCUAGGACAUUCUUUCAUUAUUCCGUCCCCUGAAUUUGUUGACUGUGCAAGACCCCACCCCCCCUUCCUUCCUCCUGGUCUGUUCUAGGCAAAUGUAGAAAAAACUAAAACGUUUACUUGUCUCCUAAAUACAGUUAAGGAAAGAAUAUCACUUGAAUGUAAUUUCCUGCAACAUUUCAUUAAUCUCAUAUGUCCUCUGUCUUUUCCUGCUUCAGUACAAGAUUUUGUCUAGCUUCAAGUAAUUGAUACAAAGAGUCCUUGCAGCCUGCAGUUAUCCAUUAACUCCAUGGUACCCCAUCAAAGAGAAAGACUGCGUAUGUCUGAACUUCAUCCUAAUUUAAUAAGGAAAGAAAUUUAGUCAUUGUCUAGUUCUGAACUUUACUCACUCCAGUAUUUACAAGAUAGACUUCCAUGCAGUAGGCUUAAAACAAAACACAGAUCAGCUUUGUCUUUAUUACCUACAUGUUUAAUGACUGUAUGUGGACUUAGAAAAAUAUUCAUGUUAUACAAUUUCUAUUAAUCAACAAUUAGAAUUAGGAACACACAAGUACUCCCAAUUCCCUUUAAAAAGAUCUGGCUUCUGCACAUAUAGACAAACAAAUCACCAGCUUGUUUGGACAUAUUAGUAUUGCUACCCUUAAAACUGUUACGUUUUUUGUUUGGUUUCCUUUAAAUAAAAUACUGAAUUCUUCCAUUACUCAGUAGAGGAAUUCCUGCUGAUAGCGAUCAGGAUCGUUUUAAAACAUUUCAAUACAUUUCAAAAGUUUGAGUACAUAGCCAACUUUAAAUCAUAACUCCUCUGAAAAUUCUCAUGAUGGUAAUUUGGUAUAGUAUACAUGUCCAAGCAUCUUCCAGCAGAAUUACAACAUGCUGAAGUUCAGGGACAUUUAAAAAAAUAUUCAUCAAUACUUCUAGAAUAUCUGACUUGACAAAAUAAAAGUCUUUACAAAGGCUGACAACUUUCUUCUCUUGCUGACAGAGCAAGUAAAAAUGCUAGCUGGGAGUUUCCUCAUUACCUUCCAACAUCUACUGAAUUGUUAAGACAUCAUUAAUUAAAUCUUUUCCAUGCAGUUCCAAUGAAGGCACAAGUAUUUCCAACUAUAUGAAGAAUUUAUGUCCAUCAGAACACAUAGGAAGUAAUUUAUAAGGCUCCAGCUUUACAAAAAACAAGACAA